CCGCUAGGGUUGCAACCUGGACGGUGGCCAGAAGAGGACAAGAGGCUUUACGCGGUACGGAGGGAUGGUUUGGAUAACAAGGUGGAGCCUUCCAUCCUGCGGCCCAGGGGCUGCAGGGGCUGUCCAGUGGCUGCGGGGUCCAUGCUGCUACCGAGGACGAGUGAGAGGGGGACCGGUGGUCUCGCCGCUGGAGGCCUGCAGGCCCCUUCCGAGAGAAUGCCUCCCUACGCCCAGCCUUUCUCUUGCCCGCCGCGCCGCCGGGCGGGUGGAUGCAGUGAACUGGGCCAGCCUGCCUCCCUCCCCCCUGUCGCGGGGGCAAGCUUGCGGUUGCUGGAUUUCGUGAUAAAAAUGCUGGACACUGGUUAAAGGAAAUCGUCAGAAAGUUCGAGAGCCAUCCAUUUAUACUCUGGUGAAGAAGGAAGAAUUAGCCAUGGAAAGGGUUUAUAUUUUAGGAUAAUCCUGAAAGAGGAUAAUGUUUUUUCUGAUGGAUACACACAAAAGUAUAGCCAGAAUGUUCUUUCCAGGACAAGCACGGAGGAACCUCAGCCUGUGCCAUGGGAGGGCACACCCUGCACUGCCCAGAGCUUGCUCCUGGAUCUGCACUCAGGGAUCACUCCUGGCGGGACUCAGGGGACCAUCUAGGUUUCCAAGGAUCGAACCUGGCCUUGGCACCAGGAGGAGAGCCGCGGCCGCGAACAGAGGAUCUGGCGUGACCCGGAGUGUGGCCUGUGCGUGUGGCCCGGCCUGUUAAGCCCCUGCACAGAGUCAUCUGAAACUCGCCGCCUGCGGUGGAUGAGCCCGGGUGGUCCCAGUGCGCACGGGGCUUGCUGUGCAGCCGGGGGGAGUUUGUCUCGAUCAUCGUCCAAGAGGCAGACUUGAGUAGGCGAGCUUCGGUCUCGAGCCCUGGAGAGGAAACCCACUGGCGUUAUCCCCGUGAGAGUUAAGACCAGUUGGCAUGAACGAUGAGCUUGAGAAAAUAUUUCUUAGAAAUGUAUUUCUGUUUGGGACGUAAUCAAGGUGAAGAGAAAAUAAAGUGAAAUUCAUAAGUUAUACAGUUGGGGUGGGGGGCGGGGAGUAUACCCGGGAUUUUGGUGGUGGAAUAUGGGCACUGGUGAAGGGAUGGUGUUUGAAUACGGUAUAACUGCGACAUAAACCUGAGAACUCUGUAAAUUUCCACAUGGUGAUAAAAUUUUUUUAAAAAUAAAAAUUAAAAAAAAGAAAAAGAAAAGAAGAUACAGAGCUAGAAAAUAAAAUAAUAAUAAUAAUAAUAAUAAUAAUAAUAAAAAAGAAAUGUAUUUCCGGGGCCAGGGAGAUGGAUGAAGCAAAGGGCUCCAAGUGCACAUCUUGCAUGAGAGAGCCCAGGGUCCUCUUCCUGGCACCACGCUGAGAAUAACCCCAAGCACCACUGGCUAUGGCUUGGAUAUGGCCCCCAAAAUUUAAAAUACGAAUUUAAUUCCCUGGUUCUGUAACAGUGGUUGACAGUGAAUGUUCUCCAUCUUAAUAUACUUGUGGACUGAGAGAUGUACGCAGUGUAAAAAAACAGCCCGUUGUAUUCGUGUUUUUGCUUAGUCCUUAGACUGAAUAGGAUGAACUUUGAAAUAAUUUCGGAAAUUUUCUGAGUGUGUGUGGGGCCUGGGUGGUGUUGAGGCCACAUCCUGCUCUGCUCAGGGUUUCCUCCUGGCUCAGUGCUCAGGGAUCUGCCAGCAGGGCUAAAGGACCACAUGUGAUGCUAGGGAUUGAACUGGGCUUGGCUGCUUACAAGGCAAGCCCCUGGACUGAUUCUGGCCCCUGAAAUAAUAAAAUAAUAAUAAUCAUAAUUAUUAUUGAGUCGAUUUGUUCGAGCAGGCACCAGUAACGUCUCUCAUUGAGAGACUUAUUGUUACUGUUUUUGGCAUAUACAAUACGCACGGGUAGCUUGCCAGACUCUCCAAGAGGGGUGGAGGAAUCGAACUCUGGUCGGCCGCGUGCAAGGCAAACACCCUACCCGCUGUGCUAUCGCUCCAGCCCCUGAAAUUAUUUUUUUAAAGAAAACUUUUUUAUUCCUUUUAUUUGGUAGUGUAUGUUGUAUCCAAUAAGCGCUGUUUUAAUGGUAAAGUAUGAUUCGGCCCCUUUUACUAAGCACCACCAGCAUUCAUAUUGUUAUAACCCAGAAAAACUGCCAUAGAGAGAGUUCAUUCACCUAUAAUAAAGUGAUUUUUUUCUUAGAAGUUGUUUGAUCUUUAUUCUUGAAGGAAAUAAUUUUUUUUUUUUGCCAUAACUACAAACCUUAAAAGGAAGAAGAGGAAACCAUGCUUUCGAAAACAUUGUCUGGUAGUAACAACAUUUCACACAAAGGCAGCACAAAGGUGGGUUUUCAGGAAGAAGGUGGAGUUGUGUGAAUUCGCUGCGGGCAGGAGCACUGACUGAUGAAUCCAGAUGCGCGUCUGCAGAUUCUGUGCAGCCUUGCUGCAGCUGUGCGGGAAGUUUAAGAAUGUAAUAUUUCUUCCUCUACCAGCAUGCGAGCAUGCCCUGCUUCCUGUAAAGCAUUGACAACAUCAAGGUUUUCUGUUUAACAAAAGAAUCAAAUUCUUUUUCUAGACCAGUAUCAGGGUGCUGUUAUCCUAUAGUCUGGGUUUGAUUUGAGUUUUUUUGAGGGUUUUUGGGUUUUAUGUCCAAAGGCCCAUGCUGUCACCCCGUGACUAGCCCAAACAUUGUUUGAACUGUUAUCACGGGAAAGAAUAUGGCAAGACACUUGAGCACAAAGUUAGGGACAGCUGCUGAGCACUCCUGGCAGGAGCUCCAAACCCCCCUUAAAAAAAAAUUUUUUUUUUUGAAGAAAUUUCUGGGUUGGAAAGAUAAUACAGCUGGUCAGGAACUUGCCUCGCACACAGCUAAUCCAGGUUGGAUCCCCAGCACCCCAUGUCCCCUGAGCACAGAGCCAGGAGUAAGACCUGAGCACAGUAGAGUAUGGCCCAAAAGCAAUAAUAAAAUCACUGUCACUGUAUCACUAUCAUCCCGUUGCUCAUCGAUUUUGCUCAAGUGGGCACCAGUAACAUCUCCAUUGUGAGACUUGUUACUGUUUUUGGCAUAUCGAAUAUGCCACGGGUAGCUUGCCAGGCUCUGCCGUGCAGGUGAGAUACUCUUGGUAGCUUGCCGGGCUCUCCGAGAGGUGUGGAGAAAUUGAACCCGGGUCAGCCAUGUGCAAGGCUGUGCUAUCGCUCCAGCCCAAUAAUAAAAUAAAUUUAUUAAAAACAAUUGUUUACUGUUUUAAUUGAAGUACUGUGCUUUACCAUACUGUUAAUUGUGCUUCUCCUGCAUCCACGGUCCAACACACCCAUCCCCAUCCCUAGAGCCUGCUUCCCGCCACCACGUCCGGGCCCCUUCCACCACUCCUCCCGGGGAGGCAGAAUCUCCAGUUUUGAAGCCUUUGGUCAUUUGGCCAUUGUUUUUUCUUUACUAUGCUUCUUUAUAACCCAGAUAUGAGAGACUAUGGACUCCGCGCCAGGCUGUUUUCACUCGGGGUGUCCCAGAGGGGGGUGGGUGAGAGCCCUCCCCACCCCAAGGGACCCAGCCCUGGCAGCCGACCUCCACUACCCAACCGCCACCACGCUCCAGGCUGCUUUCCGGACACAUUGUAAGAUACUUCCUACCCAUUUAAAUUACCACACCAUAUUUGAUGGAGUUCAGACAGUAGGCAGCAAAUCAUAGAGAGUAAUAUAUAUACCUCUCGGAGAGCCCAGCAAGCCACCGAAAGUAUCCCGCCCACACGGGCAGAGCCUGGCAAGGAGCCUGUGGCAUAUUCAAUAAACCAAAAACAGUAACAAUAGGUCUCAUUCCCCUGACGCUGAAAGAGCCUCCAAUCAUUAGGAAAGACAAGUAAGGAGAGGCUGCUAAACUCUCAGGGCUGAGAGGAAUAGAGACAUUACUGGUGCCCGCUCGAGUAAAUUGACAAACAAUGGGAUGACAGUGAUACAGUAAUACAAUGAAGUGGUGACUCCUACACAAGAAUAUAGCUAAACUCCUAAAAUUCUACAAAAUUGUAAAUAAGUUGAUAAAACUUAAAAAAAGAUAUCCUUAAUUUCUUAUAGGCAUAUAAAUUUUAAAAGUGAAUAAUUUGAUGCCAAUACAUUUUAAAUUUUAUGUGACAUCUUACAAGUACACAGUUUAGUAAGAGCCAGGAGACACUUCUUUUUAAUUUAAGAAUUAGACUAGAGAUAGUACAGUGGGUAAGGCACUUGCCUGGCACAUGGUUCACCCAGGUUUGAGCACAACCCAGUAAACCCUGGGCACAACUGAGUAUGCCCCCUCCAAACCCCACCCCCCUCCUGCCUCCCCUGUGAAACAAAAAGCCUUUAAAAAGUUUAAGGAAAAUAACAGAUCUAUAGGAGUGUAAAAAGUGAAUUUUAUCCUAAAUAGGAAAUAUUGGCUUUAAGUUAGGAAAUAU
Long non-coding RNA from Sorex araneus (European shrew), 4423 nucleotides. RefSeq lists it as uncharacterized. NCBI's taxonomy places the organism in Eukaryota, Metazoa, Chordata, Mammalia, Eulipotyphla, Soricidae. The transcript has 5 exons. The record is from RefSeq and is a predicted model, not a curated record.